RNAcentral lists this ribosomal RNA (1912 nucleotides) under Triticum aestivum (bread wheat). Its description in RNAcentral is "partial small subunit ribosomal RNA". The record is from RNAcentral. Lineage: Eukaryota; Viridiplantae; Streptophyta; Magnoliopsida; Poales; Poaceae.
CUUGCUAGAGUCGCCGUUGCCCAGGUCUCCGCACGCUCGGCGGCAAGCAAAACCCGCUCCCGCCACUGCCUAGUUCACCACCUGAACCGACUACAGGUCAGCAGGUCACGAAGGACGUUCUCGAAGUCACGACCACCGCCUCUACACCGUAGGCGUUUGGGACCCACGCGCUGAGUACGGCAGCAGAGCGUGUGUAGGCGGCUCAGGUCGGCGGCGUCACGGCGCAGCCUAAGGACGUGCCGUAAGUCAAGACCCCCGCACAUGGACGGCAGCCGCGCUCUGACGCUGUUAUGCGGCUGGUUCUCCAGGAGCACGCGGUCUACUCUCUAGACAUCAUCAACUAGCACACGGCGGCGAACUUCGACGUUAAUCUCCUAAGCGACUAUCCCCCUGACUCCACCAGCAGUUGGGCCACGAACCGUGGUAAAAACUAAGCGACCGUCUCCGCAUGCUUAAGAUGUUAGAGAUAAGGACCCAACUGUUUAUGUUCGAAGUGUUGUUGUGAAAGGAGUAUGUUUAAAAGCUCCAAGCAGUGUUCACCCGCUUCGGAAUAAAAUCACCGUUCAAUACACGCUUCGUUUGGUCAUGCGUUUCUUCGCUCUCACGUUUGGUAAACAACUUUCCGAUGUAGGGCGGACGUACGGGGUACUUGGAAAAACACUUCGUUAUAUCGUUUAACGUCAAGCUGACUUCGACUUCUUCCUAAGGUUCUCUUCUCUUGCUCCGACCCGCCCCAUCAAGAGGCUAUGUUAAUGGGAAACCUCCUCGUACAUUCAUUUCAGAUAUGGGCCUGUUACAUGCUCUACAAACCGGUCCGAAACAUAGCGAGACCAUCCAUACUACAACUCCUUCAACUCGCCCCGUAGUGGAUGGUGCACGCUGUACAACUUCGACUCUUCGCUCUCUUCACCACGGCACUUUACGUACACCAGUCACAGGUACUACCGACACGAUCCAUGUGUACGCUUACACCCGAGAAGCUCGUGUACCCCUACGAAACAACGGUACGAUAGUUCCAAAAUUAAGUAAACCCUCACUCUUUUUAUGGGUCUAAGGUACAGUACUUUUCCACCUGUCAUCUACGGGCGCUGUUAAGCGGUGAAGUGGAAGAGGUAAUGGUUUUCCUAGUUCCCGGAGGCGCCAAUAGAACGAUGUCCGUAUGUCGUGAUGUGGACUGGCACGAGCUCAAACAGGUCGAACCACUAUCGUUACAGUUACGGAAACUAUCUCGUUACCUGUAGAACUAACGUCCGUUCCGUCUCGACUGACAAAACCGCCGCCAGUUCCUACCGUUUUCAAACCACCUGGUUUGAGUUUAACCCCUUAGUCGGUUAGGGUGAGUCUCCUACCCGUGUUCAAGAAGCGUGGGUCUGCUGUACACAAGAGUCUACAAGUAGAGGUGGCUCACACCCGAAUCAAGUCAAAGACCACUUCGACCGAGGUCACACAGUGACAGCUGCAACGACGGCAGACUAUCCUUCUUCGUCUUCCCAUCCGGUUGGUGUCGCUCCCUGUUUGGACCUAUACUCCAGUUCCUGCGCGCUAGCUCCAAAACAUGCCAAACAUCCCUCUUUCCCGUGGGGCGUCCCCACUAGAAGGCUUCUUUGGAGCGUUUUAGGGAUGGACGCCGUUAACGCCACAUCGACCGUGUUUUUUUGGUCAACAAAGUUGGGCCAGAACGGCAAACACUUCACCGGAGCGCUGCCCGGUCAUCUCACUACAAGCCAAGUCGCGAACUUCGUCCAUGAGGGAGGCAAGCCUUAAUGAACAGCGCUUUUACCUACAUAGAUCUUGAUUUUAUGCAGAUCUAUGUAGGUAAAGACGCUGUUCAUUAAGGUUUGCCUCCCUCAUCAACUUAGGUUUUUAGGUUAGGUCUCAUCAAGCUAAAGGACGUAAAUACGAAUUAAACCCU